RNAcentral lists this ribosomal RNA (428 nucleotides) under uncultured bacterium. RNAcentral's name for it is "partial 16S ribosomal RNA". It matches the Rfam family "Bacterial small subunit ribosomal RNA", at positions 354 to 796 of the family's 1533-position model. The record is from RNAcentral.
GUGGGGAAUAUUGGGCAAUGGGCGCAAGCCUGACCCAGCAACGCCGCGUGAGGGAAGAAGGCUUUCGGGUUGUAAACCUCUGUCCUUGGUGACGAAACAAAUGACGGUAGCCAAGGAGGAAGCCCCGGCUAACUACGUGCCAGCAGCCGCGGUAAUACGUAGGGUGCGAGCGUUGUCCGGAAUUACUGGGCGUAAAGGGUGCGUAGGUGGCCUUUUAAGUUGGAUGUGAAAUACCCGGGCUUAACUUGGGGGGUGCAUCCAAAACUGGAAGGCUAGAGUGCAGGAGAGGAAAGCGGAAUUCCUAGUGUAGCGGUGAAAUGCGUAGAUAUUAGGAGGAACACCAGUGGCGAAGGCGGCUUUCUGGACUGUAACUGACACUGAGGCACGAAAGCGUGGGGAGCAAACAGGAUUAGAUACCCCUGUAGUCC